Molecule: long non-coding RNA, 417 nt
Organism: Trematomus bernacchii (emerald rockcod)
Lineage: Eukaryota; Metazoa; Chordata; Actinopteri; Perciformes; Nototheniidae
Exons: 2
Source: RefSeq, a predicted model, not a curated record
ACAGACCCUCAUUCUCCGGCACUUGUGGUGAAACGGCGGAUUCAGUGGCCUGUGAAUUGUCCAACGACGACUACUACGAAGGCGAGGCAGGACAACUCUCUGGAUUGGAAACAAGUGAGCUUUCCCCUCCGGAUCACAACAGCAGCACUUUCUCGUCUCCUUUUCAACCAUCCAAACGCAAAAGUACGUACAAACACACUGUAACUACUCUGGUCUUGAAAGAACGUUACGCAUCGAACUGAUGUCCACUAAUCACGUUUAUUUCCUUCUUGGUACAAUUAUGAAACACCGUGAAAAUACAUCGUUUACACUUUUAGCGCCCUUUUCACUCUCAUAAACAUCCGGGCUAGAGGUCACAUGACUGCCGGUAAGAAAACUUAUCAUUUUUGGACAAAGUUCAAGCGUACAUUAAGCACU